This 737-nucleotide ribosomal RNA is filed under the name uncultured bacterium. Its description in RNAcentral is "bacterial SSU rRNA". It matches the Rfam family "Bacterial small subunit ribosomal RNA", at positions 60 to 789 of the family's 1533-position model. The record is from RNAcentral.
AGUCGAACGGCAGCACGGGAGCAAUCCUGGUGGCGAGUGGCGAACGGGUGAGUAAUACAUCGGAACGUGUCCUGGAGUGGGGGAUAGCCCGGCGAAAGCCGGAUUAAUACCGCAUACGCUCUAUGGAGGAAAGCGGGGGAUCGCAAGACCUCGCGCUCAAGGGGCGGCCGAUGGCAGAUUAGGUAGUUGGUGGGGUAAAGGCCUACCAAGCCGACGAUCUGUAGCUGGUCUGAGAGGACGACCAGCCACACUGGGGAUGAGACACGGCCCAGGAUCCUACGGGAGGCAGCAGUGGGGAAACUUUGGACAAUGGGCGCAAGCCUGAUCCAGCAAUGCCGCGUGUGUGAAGAAGGCCUUCGGGUUGUAAAGCACUUUUGUCCGGGAAGAAAUCCCUGGUCCUAAUAUGGCCGGGGGAUGACGGUACUGGAAGAAUAAGCACCGGCUAACUACGUGCCAGCAGCCGCGGUAAUACGUAGGGUGCGAGCGUUAAUCGGAAACUACUGGGCGUAAAGCGUGCGCAGGCGGUGAUGUAAGACCGAUGUGAAAUCCCCGGGCUUAACCUGGGAACUGCAUUGGUGGAUGCAUCGCUCGAGUAUGGCAGAGGGGGGUAGAAUUCCACGUGUAGCAGUGAAAUGCGUAGAGAUGUGGAGGAAACACCGAUGGCGAAGGCAGCCCCCUGGGUCAAUACUGACGCUCAUGCACGAAAGCGUGGGGAGCAAACAGGAUUAGAUACCCUG